UGAUUUAAUCAUAUUGCAAUUUCCAGGUGGUGAAGCCCAAACUGAAUACCGCUUCGUACAUGAAGAAGAGCAUCAUGAUGAGAUUUAGGAAGAUGGAGCAAUAACACAUGCUGAGUUGGAAAAAUAAGGGUAACAAUGCAGUCCAUUUAAAGUUGGAAAAAGAUCAUCCAUAGUUGAAGAACAUGACAGAGAACAGAGGAGUUUCAUUCUCUGAAUAAGGGAAAUCAAAAUGCGUGCAGUGAGAAAAUACAUAUAUUUUUCUGAAGUGCUACCAAAUGGCCUCCCUUGAAUAGCAAGACUAGGAUUUAUCUUUUUUGGUGAGAUCAGUGUCAGAGAUUUGAGGAUUUGAGAAAUAAACCAUAUAUGAUUUCGUGCUUGCAGUGAUUUUGGCACCUGGGUUCACUUUGCAUGGAUGGAAUAGAAUCAGAUCCCUGGUGUAUAACUGGUGGUAAAAUUUUCUCUGUCUAUAUCAAGGAUAAGCCAGAUGCACUCAAGAACUAGGUUUAGUCUUUCUUGGGAUUUCUAAAAUUUGAAG
This is a long non-coding RNA of Lolium perenne, 535 nucleotides long. RefSeq lists it as uncharacterized. The record is from RefSeq and is a predicted model, not a curated record. Lineage: Eukaryota; Viridiplantae; Streptophyta; Magnoliopsida; Poales; Poaceae.